UACGGAGGGUGCAAGCGUUAUCCGGAUUCACUGGGUUUAAAGGGUGCGUAGGCGGGCAGGUAAGUCCGUGGUGAAAUCUCUGAGCUUAACUCAGAAACUGCCAUGGAUACUAUUUGUCUUGAAUAUUGUGGAGGUAAGCGGAAUAUGUCAUGUAGCGGUGAAAUGCUUAGAUAUGACAUAGAACACCAAUUGCGAAGGCAGCUUGCUACACAGUAAUUGACGCUGAGGCACGAAAGCGUGGGGAUCAAACAGG
Molecule: ribosomal RNA, 253 nt
Filed under: uncultured bacterium
Lineage: Bacteria
Description: partial 16S ribosomal RNA
Rfam family: Bacterial small subunit ribosomal RNA
Source: RNAcentral